UUUCCGUAGGUGAACCUGCGGAAGGAUCAUUAAAAAAUGAGACCUCUUUGAAGGUCUAUUAAUAGUCCUACCCUUUGUGAAUUUGUUGUUUGAAAUAAUUUUUUUCUAAAAAAUUAUUGAAUGUCUUUCCCUGUUUUGAUGGAGCUGUAAUAGCAAAGUCAAUCAGGGGAAUGGCAAACGACAAUUUUUUUUGAAAAGACCUUUUUUUAAAAUUAAACUUUUUGUAUUCAUUUGUCUAAAAUUAUUUUUAUAAUAUAAAAACAACUUUUGACAAUGGAUCUCUUGGUUCUCGCAACGAUGAAGAACGCAGCAAAAUGCGAUAAGUAGUGUGAAUUGCAGAAUACGUGAAUCAUCGAAUCUUCGAACGCAUAUUGCACUUUUUUGGUUUACCAAAAAGUAUGUCUGUUUGAGUAUCAGUAAAAUAUUCUCAUAAAAACUAUUUGUUUUUAUGGUUAUGAGUGUUUUACAACGAUAAACAAGUUGUUUCACUUUAAAUUCUUUGUCUUUUAAAAAAUCAUUAAAAACUGAUUUUUUUCUAAAAUUGGAUAAAAUUUUCCCGUAAAAAGGAAUAACCUAAACAAUUUUAAUUUAGAAUUGGUUUGAUUUCUUUUAAGACUUUAAAGGAAAAAAAGUAAAAAUUAACUUGAUCUCAAAUCAGAUAAGAGUACCCGCUGAACUUAAGCAUAUCAAUAAGCGGAGGAAAAGAAACUAACUAGGAUUCCCUCAGUAACGGCGAGUGAAGCGGGAAGAGCUCAAAUUUGAAAUCUUCAAGGUUCUACCUUGACGAAUUGUAGUUUAAAGAAGUGUUUUCUGUUGGAGUUUUGGUAAAAGUUCUUUGGAAUAGGACAUCAUAGAGGGUGAGAAUCCCGUAUUUGACCAUUAUUUCCAACUUUGUGAUACACUUUCAAAGAGUCGGAUUGUUUGGGAAUGCAGUCCAAAAUGGGUGGUAAAUUUCAUCUAAAGCUAAAUACUGGCGAGAGACCGAUAGCGAACAAGUACCGUGAGGGAAAGAUGAAAAGAACUUUGAAAAGAGAGUUAAACAGUACGUGAAAUUGUCAAAAGGGAAGCGUUUGACACCAGUGUUGUUUUCUCGAAAAUCAAUUAAAAAUGGCGGGAUUUUGUGUUGUAUUGACUUUAUCAGCUUUCUGCACUUUUUUCAUGUCUUUUUUAAUGCACUUUUCGUUUAACAAGUCAACAUCAAUUUCUUUUGUUGUAAAAGGGUUAUUGGAAGGUGGCUUUCUCUUCGGAGAAAGUGUUUAUAGCCUUUAACCUCUGCAAUCGGAGAGAUUGAGGUCUGCAGCGUAGAUCCUUCGGGGUUAGAUACAUUUGUGCUAAGUUAUAGUCUUUUAUAGACAACUUGUUGACUAUGAUUGAUCUUGUAGCCUACUCGCUUAUGCUAUUUUACCUACGCUUAGGAUGUUGAG
This 1424-nucleotide unclassified non-coding RNA is filed under the name uncultured Neocallimastigales. RNAcentral describes it as "partial contains small subunit ribosomal RNA, internal transcribed spacer 1, 5.8S ribosomal RNA, internal transcribed spacer 2, and large subunit ribosomal RNA". The stretch from base 645 to 1424 matches the Rfam family "Eukaryotic large subunit ribosomal RNA", at positions 1 to 630 of the family's 3401-position model. The record is from RNAcentral. Lineage: Eukaryota; Fungi; Neocallimastigomycota; Neocallimastigomycetes; Neocallimastigales.